Molecule: long non-coding RNA, 1260 nt
Organism: Eriocheir sinensis (Chinese mitten crab)
Lineage: Eukaryota; Metazoa; Arthropoda; Malacostraca; Decapoda; Varunidae
Exons: 4
Source: RefSeq, a predicted model, not a curated record
CUCGUUGUUGCUUUCCUUCCUUCCUUCCCUCGUUCCUUCCUUCGUCCUGUCAUUUUCUCCAUCCUCCCUUCCUCCUGUCACCUUCCCCCCUUUAUUCCUCCCUUCCUCUGUCACCUUCCUUUGGCCUUCGUCCUGCCAUCCUUGAUCCAACAAAAACGGUCUCCGGCGCCUUCACUGUAUUUUCGAUUGAUUUGAAUUAAUCCCGUCUGGAAUUUUAAGAGGCUCAUCUUGCUAUCCACCCUCCUCGCCUCGCGGGGCUGGGGAGCGUCAGGGGGCCCAGGGCCUUCCUGGCGAGCGUCGCAGGGCUCAGGGCUCCGGCAGGGCGCCUCGGCUCCCCCGGAGCGUCCACGGAGGUGUCGGAGAUCCCGAGGGUCCGGGGGUUGGGGGGGCGUGAAGUGGCAGCAAGACAUGCAGUUACUGACCUCUUAUUAGCCAGACGACGCGUUAAUGACACGUUCCAAUGGAUGGUUCGACGCAUGGGGAGGUACAAUUCCCCUAAGCAAGGCAAGUGUCAUACCAACUACGAUAAAAAACGAAAAAUCCAAAAAAAAUACAAAAAGAAAAAAUCCCAAAAAAAACUGUCUUGUUUUGCUUUGUUUAAAGCGUCUUGUAUGUUGGUAUGGCGGGUCUUCUCUGGGGAGAAGGAGACUAACGCGUUCCAACAUACAAAACCAGGAAAAGACGAUAUGGAAACACCGUAUGAAGGAAGGGAAAGAAGGGAACACCAGAAGAAGGAAAAUGAAGAGAAGUAACACUAGAAGAAGGCAUAUAAAGUAACACAAGAAGAAGGAAGUUGAAAAGAGUAACACAAGAAGAAGGAAUUUGAAAAGAGUAACACAAGAAGAAGGAAUUAAAAAAGAGUAACACAAGAAGAGGGAAUUUGAAAAGAGUAACACAGAAGAAGGUAUUGAAAAGAGUUACACAGAAGAAGGUAUUGAAAAGAGUUACACAGAAGAAGGUAUUGAAAAGAGUUACACAGAAGAAGGUAUUGAAAAGAGUUACACAGAAGAAGGUAUUGAAAAGAGUUACACAGAAGAAGGAAUUUGAAAAGAGUAACACAAGAAGAAGGAAUUUGAAGAGAAAUAACACAAGAAGAAGAAAUGUGAAGUAACACCGGAAGGAAAAUGCAGAGAAGUAACACUAGAAAAAUGAAAAUGGAAAUGAAAAGAAUCAUCCACCUUUCGGCCCAAACCAACAUCACAAAAUUAUGGGCGAGUCUCUUCUGGGAGGAAAGCGGCUCGUUCAGACCCAGGAACACCA